Molecule: ribosomal RNA, 460 nt
Filed under: Escherichia coli
Lineage: Bacteria; Pseudomonadati; Pseudomonadota; Gammaproteobacteria; Enterobacterales; Enterobacteriaceae
Description: partial 23S ribosomal RNA
Rfam family: Bacterial large subunit ribosomal RNA
Source: RNAcentral
GGUUAAGCGACUAAGCGUACACGGUGGAUGCCCUGGCAGUCAGAGGCGAUGAAGGACGUGCUAAUCUGCGAUAAGCGUCGGUAAGGUGAUAUGAACCGUUAUAACCGGCGAUUUCCGAAUGGGGAAACCCAGUGUGUUUCGACACACUAUCAUUAACUGAAUCCAUAGGUUAAUGAGGCGAACCGGGGGAACUGAAACAUCUAAGUACCCCGAGGAAAAGAAAUCAACCGAGAUUCCCCCAGUAGCGGCGAGCGAACGGGGAGCAGCCCAGAGCCUGAAUCAGUGUGUGUGUUAGUGGAAGCGUCUGGAAAGGCGCGCGAUACAGGGUGACAGCCCCGUACACAAAAAUGCACAUAUUGUGAGCUCGAUGAGUAGGGCGGGACACGUGGUAUCCUGUCUGAAUAUGGGGGGACCAUCCUCCAAGGCUAAAUACUCCUGACUGACCGAUAGUGAACCAGUA